CAUAAGUAACGAUAAAGCGGGUGAAAAGCCCGCUCGCCGGAAGACCAAGGGUUCCUGUCCAACGUUAAUCGGGGCAGGGUGAGUCGACCCCUAAGGCGAGGCCGAAAGGCGUAGUCGAUGGGAAACAGGUUAAUAUUCCUGUACUUGGUGUUACUGCGAAGGGGGGACGGAGAAGGCUAUGUUAGCCGGGCGACGGUUGUCCCGGUUUAAGCAUGUAGGCUGAUUAUCCAGGCAAAUCCGGAUAAUCAAGGCUGAGGUGUGAUGACGAGGCACUACGGUGCUGAAGUAACAAAUGCCCUGCUUCCAGGAAAAGCCUCUAAGCAUCAGGUAACAUCAAAUCGUACCCCAAACCGACACAGGUGGUCAGGUAGAGAAUACCAAGGCGCUUGAGAGAACUCGGGUGAAGGAACUAGGCAAAAUGGUGCCGUAACUUCGGGAGAAGGCACGCUGGUGUGUAGGUGAAGCCCCUGCGGGUGGAGCUGAGACCAGUCGAAGAUACCAGCUGGCUGCAACUGUUUAUUAAAAACACAGCACUGUGCAAACACGAAAGUGGACGUAUACGGUGUGACGCCUGCCCGGUGCCGGAAGGUUAAUUGAUGGGGUUAUCCGUAAGGAGAAGCUCUUGAUCGAAGCCCCGGUAAACGGCGGCCGUAACUAUAACGGUCCUAAGGUAGCGAAAUUCCUUGUCGGGUAAGUUCCGACCUGCACGAAUGGCGUAAUGAUGGCCAGGCUGUCUCCACCCGAGACUCAGUGAAAUUGAACUCGCUGUGAAGAUGCAGUGUACCCGCGGCAAGACGGAAAGACCCCGUGAACCUUUACUAUAGCUUGACACUGAACAUUGAGCCUUGAUGUGUAGGAUAGGUGGGAGGCUUUGAAGCGUGGACGCCAGUCUGCGUGGAGCCAACCUUGAAAUACCACCCUUUAAUGUUUGAUGUUCUAACGUUGGCCCCUGACCGGGGUUGCGGACAGUGUCUGGUGGGUAGUUUGACUGGGGCGGUCUCCUCCCAAAGCGUAACGGAGGAGCACGAAGGUUAGCUAAUCCUGGUCGGACAUCAGGAGGUUAGUGCAAUGGCAUAAGCUAGCUUGACUGCGAGCGUGACGGCGCGAGCAGGUGCGAAAGCAGGUCAUAGUGAUCCGGUGGUUCUGAAUGGAAGGGCCAUCGCUCAACGGAUAAAAGGUACUCCGGGGAUAACAGGCUGAUACCGCCCAAGAGUUCAUAUCGACGGCGGUGUUUGGCACCUCGAUGUCGGCUCAUCACAUCCUGGGGCUGAAGUAGGUCCCAAGGGUAUGGCUGUUCGCCAUUUAAAGUGGUACGCGAGCUGGGUUUAGAACGUCGUGAGACAGUUCGGUCCCUAUCUGCCGUGGGCGCUGGAGAAUUGAGGGGGGCUGCUCCUAGUACGAGAGGACCGGAGUGGACGCAUCACUGGUGUUCGGGUUGUCAUGCCAAUGGCACUGCCCGGUAGCUAAAUGCGGAAGAGAUAAGUGCUGAAAGCAUCUAAGCACGAAACUUGCCCCGAGAUGAGUUCUCCCUGAGACUUUAAGUCUCCUGAAGGAACGUUGAAGACGACGACGUUGAUAGGCCGGGUGUGUAAGCGCAGCGAUGCGUUGAGCUAACCGGUACUAAUGAACCGUGAGGCUUAACCUU
This 1645-nucleotide ribosomal RNA is filed under the name Klebsiella pneumoniae. RNAcentral describes it as "bacterial LSU rRNA". It matches the Rfam family "Bacterial large subunit ribosomal RNA", at positions 1301 to 2925 of the family's 2925-position model. The record is from RNAcentral. Lineage: Bacteria; Pseudomonadati; Pseudomonadota; Gammaproteobacteria; Enterobacterales; Enterobacteriaceae.